CUUAUAGAUGGAUCCGCGCUGCAUUAGCUAGUUGGUAAGGUAACGGCUUACCAAGGCAACGAUGCAUAGCCGACCUGAGAGGGUGAUCGGCCACACUGGAACUGAGACACGGUCCAGACUCCUACGGGAGGCAGCAGUAGGGAAUCUUCCGCAAUGGGCGAAAGCCUGACGGAGCAACGCCGCGUGAGUGAUGAAGGUCUUCGGAUCGUAAAACUCUGUUAUUAGGGAAGAACAUAUGUGUAAGUAAUUGUGCACAUCUUGACGGUACCUAAUCAGAAAGCCACGGCUAACUACGUGCCAGCAGCCGCGGUAAUACGUAGGUGGCAAGCGUUAUCCGGAAUUAUUGGGCGUAAAGCGCGCGUAGGCGGUUUUUUAAGUCUGAUGUGAAAGCCCACGGCUCAACCGUGGAGGGUCAUUGGAAACUGGAAAACUUGAGUGCAGAAGAGGAAAGUGGAAUUCCAUGUGUAGCGGUGAAAUGCGCAGAGAUAUGGAGGAACACCAGUGGCGAAGGCGACUUUCUGGUCUGUAACUGACGCUGAUGUGCGAAAGCGUGGGGAUCAAACAGGAUUAGAUACCCUGGUAGUCCACGCCGUAAACGAUGAGUGCUAAGUGUUAGGG
RNAcentral lists this ribosomal RNA (618 nucleotides) under Staphylococcus aureus. Its description in RNAcentral is "bacterial SSU rRNA". It matches the Rfam family "Bacterial small subunit ribosomal RNA", at positions 218 to 828 of the family's 1533-position model. The record is from RNAcentral. Lineage: Bacteria; Bacillati; Bacillota; Bacilli; Caryophanales; Staphylococcaceae.